RNAcentral lists this unclassified non-coding RNA (380 nucleotides) under uncultured bacterium. RNAcentral's name for it is "contains 16S-23S intergenic spacer region". The record is from RNAcentral.
UCCAGUUUAUCACCGGCAGUCUCUCUAGAGUGCCCAGCAUUACCUGAUGGCAACUAAAGACAAAGGUUGCGCUCGUUGCGGGACUUAACCCAACACUUCACAGCACGAGCUGACGACAGCCAUGCAGCACCUGUGUAAAGGUCUCUUGCGAGAAGAUCGGCUUUCACCGACUGUCCUAAACAUGUCAAGCCUGGGUAAGGUUCUUCGCGUAGCCUCGAAUUAAACCACAUGCUCCACCGCUUGUGCGGGUCCCCGUCAAUUUCUUUGAGUUUCAGUCUUGCGACCGUACUCCCCAGGUGGUAGAUUUAAUGUGUUAACGUCGGCGCCAGGGGGAUCGACACCCCUGAUACCUAAUCUACAUCGUUUACGGCAAGGACUAC